AAUUGGCGCACUACGGGACCUUGUCCUACAAAGAAACCAUAGUUACACCUUACCAUGGUUAAGGAACAUGGGUUAAGCUAGCUGACAAACUUUUGUGGGGUCAGGCUGUGUAUAUAAAUUGCGUAGUUGGGUUAUGUGAGGGAGGGCCAUCCACCAGCUUCUUCUUCUUCAUAAUCGUCAUCAGCACAAUCCAAAUCCACACCCUUGCUGGAAACCCCAUGAAUCCUAAUUCCUGAUUCUUAACCCCUUCUCCAAAAUCAGUAUACAGUUUCAGCCCAGUUGUCAGUAUAAUCUGCACUAGUAAUUGUACACCUAUUGCUCCUCCUUUGAAGUUCACAAGUGUUUCCAAUCAAGUAUGGGUCUUCCACCUUACCCAACUCCUGCCGACGGAGGAGUGCUAUGCGUAAUCCUUGUAAACACAGCCAUAUCCAUCUCCAUUGUCCGCGACAUAGUCCUCUCAGCCCUCCAUGUUGUUGGCAUCCGUAUAGCACCGUGGGAAGAAUAUUCCAACGAACACCCUUCAGAUUUCAAUGAGUGCCGUGGAAGUCCCUCAGAGACCUACAUGGAGGAAUUUCGUAGCCGGACCCCGGCAGUUCGGUUCGACUCUGUGUGCAAAUCCCGACGGCCCGAACCAGAGUGCUCCGUUUGCUUGACGGAGUUUGAACCUAAUGCAGAGAUAAAUGACCUUCCAUGCGGCCAUCUUUUCCACAAAAACUGCUUGGAAAAAUGGUUGAGGUAUUGGAAUGUCACGUGCCCUCUUUGCAGGACUCGUAUGGUACCGCCUGAGGAGGAGGAAGAGGGGGAAGAUACCGCUCCAAUGUGAGUUUUUUUCAGAACUGGUACAGACAAGGGAAUCCGACUGUUUAGUUGACCCAAAGCAUUGCAAGGGUCUCGUGCAAUGUAAAGGUAUCGGUGUAUAGCGUAGUUGUGUACACAGAGGUGAUAGUUUAUGUGCAUGCAUGCAUCGGCCAGCCGGGGUUUGGACCUGAGUUUAUGAGCCAGUAUUUAGUGUGUUGUUGUGAAACCUAAUUGUACUGUUGUACAUUCGUCGUUGAGGUUUAUAAUGAUGUUCUAUGCUUCUUGAGCUUAGGCUUUAUGGAGAUAUGCUUGCUAUAUACCUCAAAACUUGUGGCCUUUUGGGUGUAAUCUCACUUUCUUGUCCUCAAAAGAAGCAUAAAUCAGACUCUUGAUUGUAUUCAA
Long non-coding RNA from Rhododendron vialii, 1200 nucleotides. RefSeq lists it as uncharacterized. NCBI's taxonomy places the organism in Eukaryota, Viridiplantae, Streptophyta, Magnoliopsida, Ericales, Ericaceae. The transcript is spliced from 2 exons. The record is from RefSeq and is a predicted model, not a curated record.